This 305-nucleotide ribosomal RNA is filed under the name uncultured bacterium. Its description in RNAcentral is "bacterial SSU rRNA". It matches the Rfam family "Bacterial small subunit ribosomal RNA", at positions 498 to 800 of the family's 1533-position model. The record is from RNAcentral.
UUCCUACGGGGCGCAGCAGCCGCGGUAAUACGUAGGGUGCAAGCGUUAUCCGGAUUUAUUGGGCGUAAAGGGCUCGUAGGCGGUUCGUCGCGUCCGGUGUGGAAGUCCAUCGCUUAACGGUGGAUCCGCGCCGGGUACGGGCGGGCUUGAGUGCGGUAGGGGAGACUGGAAUUCCCGGUGUAACGGUGGAAUGUGUAGAUAUCGGGAAGAACACCAAUGGCGAAGGCAGGUCUCUGGGCCGUUACUGACGCUGAGGAGCGAAAGCGUGGGGAGCGAACAGGAUUCGAUACCCGUGUAGUCCCCCU